Molecule: unclassified non-coding RNA, 331 nt
Filed under: soil metagenome
Description: partial contains 5.8S ribosomal RNA, internal transcribed spacer 2, and large subunit ribosomal RNA
Rfam family: 5.8S ribosomal RNA (bases 1-120)
Source: RNAcentral
GAUGAAGAACGUAGCGAAAUGCGAUAAGUAAUGUGAAUUGCAGAAUUCAGUGAAUCAUCGAAUCUUUGAACGCACAUUGCGCCCCCUGGUAUUCCGGGGGGCAUGCCUGUUCGAGCGUCAUUUCACCACUCAAGCCUCGCUUGGUAUUGGGCAACGCGGUCCGCCGCGUGCCUCAAAUCGACCGGCUGGGUCUUCUGUCCCCUAAGCGUUGUGGAAACUAUUCGCUAAAGGGUGUUCGGGAGGCUACGCCGUAAAACAACCCCAUUUCUAAGGUUGACCUCGGAUCAGGCAGGGAUACCCGCUGAACUUAAGCAUAUCAAUAAGCGGAGGA